AUCCAUCCAUCACUUGCAGAAAACAAAAGAGAGCAAGAGAGAAGACAGUGGGUGAAGUCCUGGUUCCAGACUCCCCUUUUUGCCGGGAUAUGAUGGAUCUGUCAGCUGGUGCCUAGAGUCCUAGAGAGCUAGAGAUGGAGGGAAAUUCAGAUCAUCUAAACCCUUCAGCCCUUCACUGGACAGAAGAGGAAACUGAGGCUCCAUCUGCAUGACGUUCCCAGAGUCACGGCACAAAUUCAUGGAAGAAGCAGCAGGAAACUCAGUUCUCCAGUCUGGGUCCAAUGUGUGUUUUAGAAAUAUCUCCACAGGGUUAAUGACUCAAUUUUUCAUGCAUGAUUGCUAGUAAUGACAAUCAUGUUAUGUUUGUUUCUGUAGCUUUGGAAAUCACUCCUUCCACUUGAGUUUCAGGUCCCAAUUGUCCACACCUGCAGGAGUGAGGUUUUGCUGAGACUGAUAAGGCACUCACAUUUUGUGGGAGUUGAAUUGUCUCUGUAGCCUAGAAUCUAGAUUUUUUUUCCCUCCUCUGUUCUCAGUGAAUGGAGAAUUCCAUCUCGGUACAAUCUGUGAACCAUUCUGCAGUAAGAUUGUCAUCGUCUCAUUCAUACUACCUGGUCGGUAACACAAAGGGCUGUAAUUGAUGUGGUUCAGAGACUCACAUCCAAGCAAUAAAAAUGAAUCCCUUAUGGUGGUCUGCAGCA
Molecule: long non-coding RNA, 698 nt
Filed under: Pan troglodytes (chimpanzee)
Lineage: Eukaryota; Metazoa; Chordata; Mammalia; Primates; Hominidae
Description: lincRNA
Source: RNAcentral